This 258-nucleotide long non-coding RNA is filed under the name Elaeis guineensis (African oil palm). RNAcentral's name for it is "long non-coding RNA (EGUI_LNC032276)". The record is from RNAcentral. Lineage: Eukaryota; Viridiplantae; Streptophyta; Magnoliopsida; Arecales; Arecaceae.
CUCCACGAUCUUCUCCUUUUAAUGUAUGAGAAAAUUUUUUAUCUCUUUCAAAUCAUUGGUAAGGUAUCUAAGUAAGUGUUCGACCGUAACCCAAUGAAAGUAAGGUCGAUGUCUGGUGGUAGAUUUUCCUCCAUAGUAAUACCCUUUCAAGUUUUUGCCAAAUACCAAAAACGGGGGUUUAUUAUCAUGGGAAGGUUAAUCACUUAAUAUGACAUAAGUUUAUUCAUUAAAAUGAUGAAAUAGAUUUAUAUUAUGGGC